This 253-nucleotide ribosomal RNA is filed under the name uncultured bacterium. RNAcentral describes it as "partial 16S ribosomal RNA". It matches the Rfam family "Bacterial small subunit ribosomal RNA", at positions 524 to 776 of the family's 1533-position model. The record is from RNAcentral.
UACGUAGGGUGCAAGCGUUAAUCGGAAUUACUGGGCGUAAGGCGUGCGCAGGCGGUGAUGUAAGACAGGUGUGAAAUCCCCGGGCUUAACCUGGGAACUGCAUUUGUGACUGCAUCGCUGGAGUGCGGCAGAGGGGGAUGGAAUUCCGCGUGUAGCAGUGAAAUGCGUAGAUAUGCGGAGGAACACCGAUGGCGAAGGCAAUCCCCUGGGCCUGCACUGACGCUCAUGCACGAAAGCGUGGGGAGCAAACAGG